Molecule: long non-coding RNA, 3121 nt
Organism: Vicia villosa (hairy vetch)
Lineage: Eukaryota; Viridiplantae; Streptophyta; Magnoliopsida; Fabales; Fabaceae
Exons: 15
Source: RefSeq, a predicted model, not a curated record
CAUAUAAGAAAAGUCUACCAUUUGGGACUUUCUUAGGCUAUCCACAUCAGCAACUCUUCUAUGGUUGAUCCACAUCAGCUUUGGUGGUUACUACAGAAUUUUUGAUCCUUCAACUGCCUGGUGGGCUGCGGCAGUUAUUGCUGUGGGAGUUUCACCCUUCCAGCUUCUCUUGAUCAUUACGCAUUCUUCACUUCUCUGCCUAUAUUGACUUCCCAUGUUCAAUGUUGGUUACCAAAUUGAUAGAGGUUUCAAUACUCUCCAUCUUCUUUCUCCCUCUCCUUCUCCCUCUUCUUCUUUCAUCUCCAUCUCUUUUUCAUUGAUAUUAUUGAGUAUUAGACAGGUUCAAUUUUGAUUUUGAUUCUGCCUUCCUCACCUUCUCUCUUCCAUUCUUUCUUUUUUCAUCCAAGAAAAAAAACCCAUGGAAUCUCUUCCGAACAUGUUUCCAUAAUAACAGCCAAAACAAACACAAUAAUAACAGUUAGAAAAUUCAAUCUCUCAUCUCAAUCAUCUUUCGUCGCAAAUUCGCAUUAAUCGUACAAGCUAUUUCAUCUCGAUACUCAACUCAACAAGACAAGCAAUUCAUCGAAGAAUGAAGAAAAUAGGAUUUACCUUUCUGAGCAACUCUGGUGGUUGUUUGGCUGAAGACUUGGCGAAAUAAACGCGAGAAAGAAUUCCAUAAUUUCAGAUCGACGAUGAUGCGAUGAUAAAAAUGCGUCUAUGCAAUUUGUGAACACCGAAAGGCGCUCUGGCUGCUUCUUCGAUGGAUCGCGACGGUGCUUGCGAUUCCUCUCCAUUCUAUUGCACAAGUUGUGCCUCACAGAGACUUUGGUGCACUUGGGUUUAGGGAAAUCAGAAAUGUGGCGAUUCGUUUCGAUUUGGGUUUCUCUUAUUAAGCUAAUUUGGAUUUCUUUACUCGAAUGAUUUACGGUUAAUCUGCGGCGUCAGAUCAGGCAACACAAUGGUGAAAUUGGGAGUGGAGCUUGGAGAACUAAGAGCAAGCGUCCUUGCGAGAUUUUUGAAGAAUUUUUUACUCCUUUGGAUGAAUCCGUUGCUAGAAGUACCUCUAUAUUUCAUAAAUGCAUAAUACACACGGUGUGAUGGGUUUUCCUGAAUGCAAAAACAAUUAGGAUUUCUACUCAUGGUGAGGAGUUUACAUAUAUUCUAUUAUUUUGAAUUUCAUUUUGGACUUUGAUAUACCUUUCACUCUUCAAAAUUAGGAUUCCUACUCAUGGGGGAACAACCUCUCCCGUUCGAGGAUCAUGCAAUUCCGGCUGCUGACGACGACGAGGACUACACUGGCGGCAAUGAUGCCAUGAAUGAAUUGGAGUGGUCGGAUUCCAAAUUGUUGAUAUUUUUUAUCGACUCAAAUGACAAUGGGAUCUAUGAUGAUGUUUUGCUUGGCAUAAUUAGGCAAAUGUUAUUCACUAGCUAUCGAAUGGUUUCCUUCAUUCAAAACAUGAACUCAAAGAUUGGGAUAUCUAAAUAGUGGUCUUCCACACAGACAGCGGUAAGUGGGUUGCAUAUGAUUGGAUUGUCGUGUUCACAUCUAAGGGUAUUUUCCUAAUAAAAAGAAUGGUUAAUAUAUAAUAAGGAGUAACAAACGCAGCUCGAUCAUUGAUAGGGCUACAGGAUCAACGAAUUUGACUGACACUGAACCAUAUGUUACGAAGCUUAGCGAAGAUCAAAUGGCCCAGCUUCUCUCUGCCUUUUGGAUUCAGGCCAACCGAAUAUUGAAGCUAUAGCUCAUUCAUUUAUAUUGACACUAAUUGUUUUGCGCAUGAAGAUAGAGUUAUAAGGUUUAAGGAUUGCUAUGGAUUGUAGGCUUGCAGCAGAGUUUGAUGGUUUAUUGUUAGGGCAUACAAUUUGCUUGAAGUAGAUGGUGCUGCUUGAUGGAAAUUGUUCUCAGCACGAGAUUCAAUGUUUAUGAAGUUACACUUACACAAUGUGUGAAAUAUUUUCUCUCUGGGCAUAAUGGGACUGUCGAAAUCCAUGUCUUUGUUGAAGAGGUACUUGCCCUUGAGAUUGUUGCUCUAUCUUGUGUUAUCCAUAAGAACUUUGCCAAUCUUAUUCGUUAUUAUGAAGAAGACGAACCAUUCACAAGGACGGUGGUGUUUGAGUAUACUCCGAACGAAAGCUUAUAUGAGCAUCUACUUGGAUGAAGACGGGAACAAGAUGUUAAAUGAAUACAUUCGAGAGUAUAAGAUUGGUUCUGGUAGCUAUGCCAAAGUGGGUCUUUACCAAAGUAGUGUUGAUGGAAGACAUUAUGCAAUUAAGGAAGGACACUUUUAGUGUUAGCAUGCAAACCAUUUUAUCAAAGGCUUACCGCAAAAUGCAUGUCUGUACUAUUAUCAAGAUAAGAGCAUUGCAGAUAAUUUAUUGAAGUUAUAUCUUUUGAUCUGCAAUCCUUUCAUAGGUCUCACUUGCAAAAGCUUCGAGUUGCCCCAUCUGAGACUGCCAUGAUGGAUGUACUACGUGAAGGCAUAAUUUGGGCUGAUUUUUCUUGGUUGGAAUGGAUUUGGGUAUCUCCUCUUGAAUUGCAAGGUUAUUAACAAAAAGCGACACAUUGUUUCCAUUAGAAAACAUGUCAAUAAGAACACGGGUAUUUUGUUGAGGCGUAGGACUGGCUACCUGUUGUUCUCCUACAGGAAUAAGAGUAAGUGAAUUAUCUGCUUUUGGGAUCAACCCUUACAGGAGGGGCGGAAAAAUUUGUUAAUACUGCCAAAAAGAUAGAGCAAAUAGGCUGGGAGACUACACACUUUGAACAUCCUUUUGACAACUACAAGCAAACAGGCUUAUCCUGCAAGGAGAUACAAGUUAUAACUUAAGCACUAAACUCAUUCAAGCAUCCAUUCAUUCAAAAGAACUAUAUGUUUAGCAAUGCAGCAAAAGGAUCUGUGAUUUUCGUCGCUGAUAAUGUAACCAUCUUGAAUAGGUGCGGCGAAUGCUACGCAGUGCUGGACAUUGGUUCAAACCGGAAUGACAUAGAACCCUACUGAGAUUUGUAAUUAUAUUGAUAUGAAUAAACUCUUAUUGUUAGUUACAAGUAUAUUAAGUUUUGUUAGCAAGAUUCUGUCAACUUUAUUCUAAUACAAACUUAAAAGAGUUUACUUCGUAAUGAAAA